UGGUAAUAAGCAGUGAGACAUCCUUCCUGUCGAGAAGCUGAACAAUGGUUUCCUCUGACAGAAGCACAACAUGAGGAGCCUUCCAUAUGUUGGUGCUGAUUUGAACGGCGGCAGCAUCUCCGAGAGGGACCCCGUGAGGAUCUGGAUAUCCUGUGGGAAGAAAAGCUCUGUGGUGACAAGGAUGGGCCUCUCCAGGUGAAGCUGGCACUGGUGGUGUUGUCCUUGCUGGAGCUGGUGGCCAACUUGGCACUGGGGACAUGUGGAAGGCAUAACCAAACCCAUGGGGAAAACAGGCACAGAGAGCAAGGCCUGGAGUCCUUUGGGCUCAGCAGAGCCUGGCAGUGGCACAGGGCUGAGCCGCGUGCCCCGACCCCGUGCAGAUGAAGCCUGCCCUGCAUUCCCUUGGCUCCCCCGGUGCCCAGGGAUGGAUUGUCCCACAUCCAGCGUGUGGCUGCUCUGCAUCCUCCCAUCCUCACCACGGUUUUGCUGGAGAGAGGGGAGGAGGGAGCCCUCGGCCGGGCCGGCACCCGCGCUCUGCACAAUGUCCAUUUGUUCUGGGUGCUAACACCAAAUGACAAAAGACUCCAGAUUCAUGCCGAACAAAAUUGUCCCCUUGCUAAUUAUUAGAUUAUGAAAUGUGUUUCAUAAUGUAAUGAAUAAUGGCGGGGGGGACCUUGGCUUAUGUUAAUUUUUUUUCCCCUGCUCGAAUCUGGAUUUUUUCAUUGUUUGCCCCGGAGUUUCUGUUGGUAGGUUGAAACAGAGAUGCGAAAAGAAUGGGAAAGGCUGGGUUUUAUUUGUGCCUUGCCUCUUAAAGCUGUGACUUGGCUCACACAGUAAGUGCAAACAAUUCUCUCCUGGCAAGUGUUCAGUGGAGACAUUACUGAUGACAGACUUUAUUAAGUGCAGGUUUGCUUGUUAUUAAAUUCGCUCUGUGCUUGUUUCCGAAGCUGCUGGCCCGGCCGGCUGCAUCCCAUUAGGAUCUUUAGGAAGAAAGAAAGGAACAGAACAUUGUCUGCAGCACAGCCAGCGAUGAGGUGAUGGGGAAGCCAGCACUGGGGAAGGAGACCCAAGGACAUAAUUAAUUGCUACGUUUUAAAACAAACAUUUGUUUGGUUUAUUGAGUUAAUUCGAGCCAUCCCUUGGAGAUUCCUGGUUUCCAGGUGAAGCUGGGCAUGUCUUCCCAUGUCAGCACGUCCAGGGCUGUGGGAGGUUAAUGUAUGUUGCAUUAAUUGUUUGUGGGGGGAGAAAAACCACCAUUAAAGUAGAGGCAUGUUUCUAA
Long non-coding RNA from Haemorhous mexicanus (house finch), 1279 nucleotides. RefSeq lists it as uncharacterized. The record is from RefSeq and is a predicted model, not a curated record. The transcript is spliced from 3 exons. Lineage: Eukaryota; Metazoa; Chordata; Aves; Passeriformes; Fringillidae.